AUUGAACGCUGGCGGCAUGCCUAACACAUGCAAGUCGAGCGGAUGAAGGGAGCUUGCUCCUGGAUUCAGCGGCGGACGGGUGAGUAAUGCCUAGGAAUCUGCCUGGUAGUGGGGGAUAACGUCCGGAAACGGGCGCUAAUACCGCAUACGUCCUGAGGGAGAAAGUGGGGGAUCUUCGGACCUCACGCUAUCAGAUGAGCCUAGGUCGGAUUAGCUAGUUGGUGGGGUAAAGGCCUACCAAGGCGACGAUCCGUAACUGGUCUGAGAGGAUGAUCAGUCACACUGGAACUGAGACACGGUCCAGACUCCUACGGGAGGCAGCAGUGGGGAAUAUUGGACAAUGGGCGAAAGCCUGAUCCAGCCAUGCCGCGUGUGUGAAGAAGGUCUUCGGAUUGUAAAGCCCUUUAAGUUGGGAGGAAGGGCAGUAAGUUAAUACCUUGAUGUUUUGACGUUACCAACAGAAUAAGCACCGGCUAACUUCGUG
This 484-nucleotide ribosomal RNA is filed under the name uncultured bacterium. RNAcentral describes it as "partial 16S ribosomal RNA". It matches the Rfam family "Bacterial small subunit ribosomal RNA", at positions 30 to 507 of the family's 1533-position model. The record is from RNAcentral.